Molecule: ribosomal RNA, 483 nt
Filed under: uncultured bacterium
Lineage: Bacteria
Description: bacterial SSU rRNA
Rfam family: Bacterial small subunit ribosomal RNA
Source: RNAcentral
GAUGAACGCUAGCGGCAGGCUUAAUACAUGCAAGUCAAGGGGGUAGCAAUACAACCGGCGCACGGGUGAGUAACGCGUACACAACAUACCAUAUACUGGAGUAUAGCUUUGGGAAACUGAAGGUAAUCCUCCAUAACAUUGCGAGAGGGCAUCUGAUUGCAAUUAAAGUUUCGGCGGUAUAUGAUUGGUGUGCGUUUGAUUAGCUAGUUGGUAGGGUAACGGCCUACCAAGGCGACGAUCAAUAGCUGGCGUGAGAGCGCGACCAGCCACACUGGAACUGAGACACGGUCCAGACUCCUACGGGAGGCAGCAGUAGGGAAUAUUGGACAAUGGAGGAAACUCUGAUCCAGCCAUGCCGCGUGAUAGAUGAAGGCCCUCUGGGUUGUAAAUAUCUUUUUAUCUGGGGAAGAAACACUCCUAUUCUUAGGAACUUGACGGUACCAGAGGAAUAAGCACCGGNUAACUCCGUGCCAGCAGCCGCGG